Molecule: ribosomal RNA, 387 nt
Filed under: Nitrososphaera viennensis
Lineage: Archaea; Thermoproteati; Nitrososphaerota; Nitrososphaeria; Nitrososphaerales; Nitrososphaeraceae
Description: bacterial SSU rRNA
Rfam family: Archaeal small subunit ribosomal RNA
Source: RNAcentral
CCCCGAGUGGUCGGGACGAUUAUUGGGCCUAAAGCAUCCGUAGCCGGUACUGCAAGUCUUCCGUUAAAUCCACCUGCUUAACAGAUGGGCUGCGGAGGAUACUACAGCGCUAGGAGGCGGGAGAGGCAAGCGGUACUCAAUGGGUAGGGGUAAAAUCCGCUGAUCCAUUGAAGACCACCAGUGGCGAAGGCGGCUUGCCAGAACGCGCUCGACGGUGAGGGAUGAAAGCUGGGGGAGCAAACCGGAUUAGAUACCCGGGUAGUCCCAGCUGUAAACGAUGCAGACUCGGUGAUGGGCUGGCUUUGUGCCAGCCCAGUGCCGCAGGGAAGCCGUUAAGUCUGCCGCCUGGGGAGUACGGUCGCAAGACUGAAACUUAAAGGAAUUGGC